CCCAGACUCCUACGGGAGGCAGCAGUGGGGAAUAUUGCACAAUGGGGGGAACCCUGAUGCAGCGACGCCGCGUGGGUGAAGGAGUACUUCGGUACGUAAAGCCCUAUCAGCAGGAAAGAAAAUGACGGUACCUGACUAAGAAGCCCCGGCUAACUACGUGCCAGCAGCCGCGGUAAUACGUAGGGGGCAAGCGUUAUCCGGAUUUACUGGGUGUAAAGGGAGCGUAGACGGCAGUGCAAGUCCGGAGUGAAAGCCCGGGGCUCAACCCUGGGACUGCUCUGGAAACUGUAAGGCUGGAGUGCGGGAGGGGCAGGCGGAAUUCCUGGUGUAGCGGUGAAAUGCGUAGAUAUCAGGAGGAACACCGGCGGCGAAGGCGGCCUGCUGGACCGUAACUGACGUUGAGGCUCGAAAGCGUGGGGAGCAAACAGGAUUAGAUACCCUGGUA
Molecule: ribosomal RNA, 445 nt
Filed under: uncultured bacterium
Lineage: Bacteria
Description: partial 16S ribosomal RNA
Rfam family: Bacterial small subunit ribosomal RNA
Source: RNAcentral